AGGGAAUCUUCCGCAAUGGGCGAAAGCCUGACGGAGCAACGCCGCGUGAGUGAUGAAGGUCUUCGGAUCGUAAAACUCUGUUAUUAGGGAAGAACAAAUGUGUAAGUAACUAUGCACGUCUUGACGGUACCUAAUCAGAAAGCCACGGCUAACUACGUGCCAGCAGCCGCGGUAAUACGUAGGUGGCAAGCGUUAUCCGGAAUUAUUGGGCGUAAAGCGCGCGUAGGCGGUUUUUUAAGUCUGAUGUGAAAGCCCACGGCUCAACCGUGGAGGGUCAUUGGAAACUGGAAAACUUGAGUGCAGAAGAGGAAAGUGGAAUUCCAUGUGUAGCGGUGAAAUGCGCAGAGAUAUGGAGGAACACCAGUGGCGAAGGCGACUUUCUGGUCUGUAACUGACGCUGAUGUGCGAAAGCGUGGGGAUCAAACAGGAUUAGAUACCCUGGUAGUCCACGCCGUAAACGAUGAGUGCUAAGUGUUAGGGGGUUUCCGCCCCUUAGUGCUGCAGCUAACGCAUUAAGCACUCCGCCUGGGGAGUACGACCGCAAGGUUG
RNAcentral lists this ribosomal RNA (549 nucleotides) under uncultured bacterium. Its description in RNAcentral is "bacterial SSU rRNA". It matches the Rfam family "Bacterial small subunit ribosomal RNA", at positions 356 to 896 of the family's 1533-position model. The record is from RNAcentral.